Long non-coding RNA from Phacochoerus africanus (Common warthog), 970 nucleotides. RefSeq lists it as uncharacterized. The record is from RefSeq and is a predicted model, not a curated record. Lineage: Eukaryota; Metazoa; Chordata; Mammalia; Artiodactyla; Suidae. The transcript is spliced from 3 exons.
GGCAAGUGGGGCUUGGAUGGGAGCCGUAACUGCCUCCCAAUACCCCCAGAAAACUCUGGUCCUUGCUGGGAGCGGGGUGGGGGGGGCCUUUCUUUUUGCUACAUCCUCCACCAAAGCCCUUUGGUGGAGCAGAGCAGAGUAAGUAGGGCAACAGAGGGGAAGCGGGACCGAGCUUGGCAGGGUCCGCAGGCCCAGGACUGCAGGAAACUGGGGUAGGGGCUCCCCCUCAGAUGCCCUUAGCGCCGGCUGGCGCUGAAGGAAAUGAUUUCCACCUGCCUUCUCAGCAGCGCUGCCCCAAGGCUGCAGAUUAAGAAUCAAUUAAGAGCGGGAAGGAGGAUUUGCCAGGCGGAGGCGGUUGUGAAGAUUUAAACGUGUGCAGAUCUUAGAACAGUGCCUGGCACGCUGAAGAUGACAGAUCAGUGUUGGCUGGAAAAAAAGAAGAUGAAUGAUGGGGCUGAGCUCCGCCCCUCCCGCCCCCCAGAUGGUUGAUGGUCACUUACUAUGACACCGGAUGCAGGGAGAUGGCAGCUGUCUGCAAGCCAGGAAGAGAGCCCUCACUAGGAACUGAAUCUGCUAGCACCUUGCUCUUGGACUUCCCAGCCUCCAGAACUGUGAGAAGUGAAAGUCUAAGCCACGCCAUCCAUGGUAUUGUUAUAAUAGCCUGAGCUGACUAGGACAGAAGGGAACCUAGCCUACCAAGUUGGUCACCUUCAUAGUAUGCAAAGCCAGCUCCUCACAUGCCAGCUAGAAUGCAGUCCUAAAAACUGAAUCCCACCCCCUACGAGUUCCAACUGACCUCCCUCUGCCCCCACAAUUCCAACUCACAAAUCCCCCCAUCCUCACCACUUUUGAAUUCCUCCUUGCCAAGAUGAUCCUUUGUGAUUUCUAAUUAUUUAUCUGAUGAGUAAUAUGUUUAUAUUGUUCAAAAAUUUUAAACAUACAAAGAGGUGUUCUUCGAAAGGUCUUCUUU